UACGUAGGGGGCUAGCGUUGUCCGGAAUCAUUGGGCGUAAAGCGCGUGUAGGCGGUCCGGUAAGUCCGCUGUGAAAGUCGGGGGCUCAACCCUCGGAUGCCGGUGGAUACUGUCGGGCUUGAGUACGGAAGAGGCGAGUGGAAUUCCUGGUGUAGCGGUGAAAUGCGCAGAUAUCAGGAGGAACACCAAUGGCGAAGGCAGCUCGCUGGGACGGUACUGACGCUGAGACGCGAAAGCGUGGGGAGCAAACAGG
Molecule: ribosomal RNA, 253 nt
Filed under: uncultured bacterium
Lineage: Bacteria
Description: partial 16S ribosomal RNA
Rfam family: Bacterial small subunit ribosomal RNA
Source: RNAcentral